AGAUUGAACGCUGGCGGCAUGCCUAACACAUGCAAGUCGAACGGGAGUAGCAAUACUCUAGUGGCGGACGGGUGAGGAAUACGUAGGAAUUUGCCCUUAAGUGGGGGAUAACCCGGGGAAACCCGGAUUAAUACCGCAUGACCUCGAAAGAGCAAAGUGGGGGAUCGCAAGACCUCACGCUUUUGGAGAAGCCUACGUCGGAUUAGCUAGUUGGUGAGGUAAUGGCUCACCAAGGCGACGAUCCGUAACUGGUCUGAGAGGAUGAUCAGUCACACCGGAACUGAGACACGGUCCGGACUCCUACGGGAGGCAGCAGUGGGGAAUAUUGGACAAUGGGCGCAAGCCUGAUCCAGCAAUGACCGCGUGUGUGAAGAAGGCCUUCGGGUUAGUAAAGCUACGUUUAAGUUAGGAAAGAAAAACUCAACGUACUAACACAGUGAGUCUUAGACGUACCGACAAGAAUAAGCAACCGGCUAAC
This 478-nucleotide ribosomal RNA is filed under the name uncultured soil bacterium. RNAcentral describes it as "bacterial SSU rRNA". It matches the Rfam family "Bacterial small subunit ribosomal RNA", at positions 26 to 501 of the family's 1533-position model. The record is from RNAcentral.